Molecule: ribosomal RNA, 690 nt
Filed under: Xanthomonas sp. AD5
Lineage: Bacteria; Pseudomonadati; Pseudomonadota; Gammaproteobacteria; Lysobacterales; Lysobacteraceae
Also listed under: 1 other name
Description: bacterial SSU rRNA
Rfam family: Bacterial small subunit ribosomal RNA
Source: RNAcentral
UCUCUGGGUGGCGAGUGGCGGACGGGUGAGGAAUACAUCGGAAUCUACCUUUUCGUGGGGGAUAACGUAGGGAAACUUACGCUAAUACCGCAUACGACCUUAGGGUGAAAGCGGAGGACCUUCGGGCUUCGCGCGGAUAGAUGAGCCGAUGUCGGAUUAGCUAGUUGGCGGGGUAAAGGCCCACCAAGGCGACGAUCCGUAGCUGGUCUGAGAGGAUGAUCAGCCACACUGGAACUGAGACACGGUCCAGACUCCUACGGGAGGCAGCAGUGGGGAAUAUUGGACAAUGGGCGCAAGCCUGAUCCAGCCAUGCCGCGUGGGUGAAGAAGGCCUUCGGGUUGUAAAGCCCUUUUGUUGGGAAAGAAAAGCAGUCGGUUAAUACCCGAUUGUUCUGACGGUACCCAAAGAAUAAGCACCGGCUAACUUCGUGCCAGCAGCCGCGGUAAUACGAAGGGUGCAAGCGUUACUCGGAAUUACUGGGCGUAAAGCGUGCGUAGGUGGUUGUUUAAGUCCGUUGUGAAAGCCCUGGGCUCAACCUGGGAAUUGCAGUGGAUACUGGGCAACUAGAGUGUGGUAGAGGAUGGCGGAAUUCCCGGUGUAGCAGUGAAAUGCGUAGAGAUCGGGAGGAACAUCUGUGGCGAAGGCGGCCAUCUGGACCAACACUGACACUGAGGCACGAAAGCGUGGGGA